CAGCGCCACAAGUGGCAAUCACGAUUAUUGGGCCUAAAGCGUUCGUAGCCGGUUCAGUAAAUCUUUUGUGAAAUCGUAUAGCUCAACUAUACGGCGUGCAGAAGACACUGCUGAACUAGAGACCGGGAGGAGUCAGAGGUAUGCUGGGGGGACCGGUAAAAUGGGAUAAUCCUCAGUAGACCACCGAUGGCGAAGGCAUCUGACCAGAACGGAUCUGACGGUGAGGGACGAAAGCCAGGGGAGCGAACCGGAUUAGAUACCCGUGUAGUCC
Molecule: ribosomal RNA, 271 nt
Filed under: uncultured archaeon
Lineage: Archaea
Description: partial 16S ribosomal RNA
Rfam family: Archaeal small subunit ribosomal RNA
Source: RNAcentral